Molecule: ribosomal RNA, 253 nt
Filed under: uncultured bacterium
Lineage: Bacteria
Description: partial 16S ribosomal RNA
Rfam family: Bacterial small subunit ribosomal RNA
Source: RNAcentral
UACGUAGGUGGCAAGCGUUGUCCGGAUUUACUGGGCGUAAAGAGCGCGCAGGCGGCCAAGUCAGUCGGAUGUGAAAGCCCCCGGCUCAACUGGGGAGGGUCAUUCGAUACUGCUCGGCUCGAAGACAGGAGAGGGAAGUGGAAUUCCCGGUGUAGUGGUGAAAUGCGUAGAUAUCGGGAGGAACACCAGUGGCGAAGGCGACUUUCUGGCCUGUUCUUGACGCUGAGGCGCGAAAGCUAGGGGAGCAAACGGG